This 547-nucleotide ribosomal RNA is filed under the name uncultured bacterium. Its description in RNAcentral is "partial 16S ribosomal RNA". It matches the Rfam family "Bacterial small subunit ribosomal RNA", at positions 355 to 895 of the family's 1533-position model. The record is from RNAcentral.
UGGGGAAUUUUGGACAAUGGGCGAAAGCCUGAUCCAGCAAUGCCGCGUGUGUGAAGAAGGCCUUCGGGUUGUAAAGCACUUUUGUCCGGAAAGAAAUCCUUGGCUCUAAUACAGUCGGGGGAUGACGGUACCGGAAGAAUAAGCACCGGCUAACUACGUGCCAGCAGCCGCGGUAAUACGUAGGGUGCAAGCGUUAAUCGGAAUUACUGGGCGUAAAGCGUGCGCAGGCGGUUUGCUAAGACCGAUGUGAAAUCCCCGGGCUCAACCUGGGAACUGCAUUGGUGACUGGCAGGCUAGAGUAUGGCAGAGGGGGGUAGAAUUCCACGUGUAGCAGUGAAAUGCGUAGAGAUGUGGAGGAAUACCGAUGGCGAAGGCAGCCCCCCUGGGCCAAAUACUGACGCUCAUGCACGAAAGCGUGGGGAGCAAACAGGAUUAGAUACCCUGGUAGUCCACGCCCAAACGAUGUCAACUAGUUGUUGGGGAUUCAUUUCCUUAGUAACGUGCUAACGCGUGAAGUUGACCGCCUGGGGAGUACGGUCGCAAGAUU